This 236-nucleotide unclassified non-coding RNA is filed under the name Hevea brasiliensis (rubber tree). The record is from RNAcentral. Lineage: Eukaryota; Viridiplantae; Streptophyta; Magnoliopsida; Malpighiales; Euphorbiaceae.
UGUUGCCAUAAAAACAUGGUUUAAUCUACUUUCACCACCACAUACGCCAGCACCAAUGACAUCCUUAAACUAAAUUGUUAGAGUUCAACAUUAAACAAAACAGUAGCAGGUAGAACACAUCUCACAAACAGAUAUGUCAUAGAAGAUGAAAUACCCCCUUCUAAAACCCAUAUCAAAACUCAAGACUUAAAACAAAGACAAGCAGAAAUUGCAAACUGCAGCAAAUGUAGGCCGAA